RNAcentral lists this long non-coding RNA (1286 nucleotides) under Helianthus annuus (common sunflower). Its description in RNAcentral is "hypothetical non coding rna". The record is from RNAcentral. Lineage: Eukaryota; Viridiplantae; Streptophyta; Magnoliopsida; Asterales; Asteraceae.
CACAUCUCACAAAACCAUCAGACCUUCUCUCUCUGGCGACUCAAGAAAACCAUGCCAGAUCUCUCACCAGAUCCGUUUCAUGACCAGAUCUGUGAGGAUUCCACCGCAUGUUCCCCUCCGCCUUGUUACGCUGCUUCAAUCGCGGCUUCUCCUUCAUUCCAGGGAUUUGCUGAUGUAAGUAACCAUUGAAUCAAGAUCAAUCAGUGAUGAGUGUACCAUUUGAUAGAAGGGUCGAAACUGAAUCACCUUUCAUGGUUCAAGGUUCGAGAAGAUUGGAGAAGAAGACAAGGACGGAUGCUUGCGUUUUAUCAUAUCGGAGCUGCAAGAAAACUUUGUUUCCAAUGUACUACGCUCUCAAUUUGGUUUGGAAUUGAGCAAGAGUACACUUUGCUUCAACCAGAUGUGAAGUGGCCUUUUGGUUGGCCUGUUACUGUUAGAGUGUCAAUAUAGUCAAAGUAAUUGUUAUUUAAGUUUUCUAUCUUUAGCGCAAAAAGAAACGGAGCAGCACGAGGCUGCUAAACAACAAGCUGAAUUCGUAACAAGCUCCAGCUAUCGGAAUAUGGUGUCAAAGAUGAACUAUUAUAUGUUUGCUGCAUUAAUAUUUUAUAAUGACCAAUAAGCCCAAACCUCAAACCAAACCGGAACCAAACAUUCAAUUGUUGGGUUCAGGGGCUCUGAUAUUGAAGCCUCACAUAAAUCAACAACGUCCUAAAGGAUGCAAACAUUCUUAUAUUUGUAAAUUAGAGGAUGAAAACCCAAUUAAUGGAUAUGUACGAUAGAGCACGGGUCGGAGCGGUUGUAGGCGGAACAUAUCCAGCAAUCGGAGUGGAUACAACCUGGUUAAGAAACAGAGCUCGAAGAUUCCAUGAGGUUGUUGCUGCUGUGGGGUGUAAGAGGAGGAAAGUCUUAUUUGGAGUGACCGGGAAUGACGGUGGUUCAGUUAUAUUUGACAACAUUUCAGCUAACAGAUCGGUCUCAUAUGAUCUUUGACAUGUGUCGGACAUAGAGAGAUUAACAGACCGAAUUCUCUUAGCUUCUGAUGGUGGUUUGCAGCAGCUCUCCCAAGAUGCAUUAGUUGGUAGCUUUGGGAAGGCUGGCACUCCUAAAUCUAUUUCGCCAACAAUUGGCGCUUCUCUUUUGCUUUAUUAGCCGAGUUCUCUUUGUUGUUUUGUAGAUUUGGUUUCCUAAAUGUCUGUAUAUGGAAUUAAUAGGUACAUGUUACACCUACCAAAAUGAAUUAGCUAUGGCUUCAUAUACUUGCUGAAUAGUCUUGGGGUGCAAUAUUU